This 65-nucleotide transfer RNA is filed under the name Maoricicada mangu mangu. Its description in RNAcentral is "tRNA-Asp". Lineage: Eukaryota; Metazoa; Arthropoda; Insecta; Hemiptera; Cicadidae. The record is from RNAcentral.
UGGAAAAAUUAGUUUAAUAUAAAAUAUAAAUCUGUCAGAUUUUUGAUACUUUCAAGUAUUUUUCU